This 253-nucleotide ribosomal RNA is filed under the name uncultured bacterium. RNAcentral describes it as "partial 16S ribosomal RNA". It matches the Rfam family "Bacterial small subunit ribosomal RNA", at positions 524 to 776 of the family's 1533-position model. The record is from RNAcentral.
UACGUAGGGGGCGAGCGUUGUCCGGAUUCAUUGGGCGUAAAGCGCGCGCAGGCGGCCUGGUAAGUCGGCCGUGAAAUCUCCACGCUCAACGUGGAGGGGUCGGGCGAGACUGCGAGGCUGGAGGCGGGUAGAGGGUCGUGGAAUUCCGGGUGUAGUGGUGGAAUGCGUAGAGAUCCGGAGGAACACCAGUGGCGAAGGCGGCGACCUGGGCCUGGCCUGACGCUGAGGCGCGAAAGCGUGGGGAGCGAUCCGG